RNAcentral lists this long non-coding RNA (316 nucleotides) under Nicotiana benthamiana. RNAcentral describes it as "long non-coding RNA (NBEN_LNC013748)". Lineage: Eukaryota; Viridiplantae; Streptophyta; Magnoliopsida; Solanales; Solanaceae. The record is from RNAcentral.
UCCCAGGUAUAUCACUGUCCUUACUAUCUAGUUGCUCAUGAUCAUAUUCAGACCCAAGACUAGCAACCAUAUCAGUUCCUAUUUGAAUCCUCUGCAUCUUGUCAUCAGGCUGAUCACCAGUCACUGGCUUGCUAUGUAGUGUAUUAGCAAUUGCUUCACUAGCCACUGAGAUCUCAGGCAAGUUAGGCAUUGCUUUGGAACUCAAAUCCUCCCUUGCCAGAGUACUAUUGUUGACAAUGUUAUCUUUGGGGACCCAUUUCUGUCUUGGUUUCUUCCUUUCCAAUCUGUUUCUAAUCUCUUUAUUAUGAUCUGCCUG